AUGGCAUCCAUGAAAAACCUUGUGGUAAAGGGGGGCAAAAAAAAAAGAAGCAGGUUCUGAAGUUCACUCUUGAUUGCACCCACCCCAUAGAAGACGGAUCAUGGAUGCUGCCAAUUUUGAGCAGUUUUUGCAAGAGAGGAUCAAAGUGAGCAGAAAAGCUAGGAAUGUCAUUGGAGGGGUUGUGAUCAAAAGGAGCAAGGGCAAGAUCACCAUGACUUCCGAGAUGCCUCUUCCCAAAAGGUAUUUGAAAUAAGAAAUAUUUGAAGAAGAACAAUCUACGUGAUUGGACGUGCGUAACUGCUAACAGCAAAAGGGGUUAUGAAUUACGUUACUUCCAAAUUAACCAGAACAAACAAGAGGAGGAAGACGAGGAUUA
Molecule: long non-coding RNA, 376 nt
Filed under: Homo sapiens (human)
Lineage: Eukaryota; Metazoa; Chordata; Mammalia; Primates; Hominidae
Description: non-protein coding lnc-TRMT1L-2:1
Source: RNAcentral